CCUACGGGAGGCUGCAGUGGGGAAUAUUGGGCAAUGGGCGCAAGCCUGACCCAGCAACGCCGCGUGAAGGAUGAAGGUUUUCGGAUUGUAAACUUCUGUCGCGAGGGACGAAGAAUGACGGUACCUCGUAAGAAAGCCCCGGCUAACUACGUGCCAGCAGCCGCGGUAAUACGUAGGGGGCAAGCGUUGUCCGGAAUGACUGGGCGUAAAGGGAGUGUAGGCGGCCUUGUAAGUUAGAUGUGAAAUCCUACGGCUUAACCGUAGAACUGCAUCUAAAACUGUGAGGCUGGAGUGCAGGAGAGGUGAGUGGAAUUCCUAGUGUAGCGGUGAAAUGCUUAGAGAUCAUACAGAACACCGAUUGCGAAGGCAGCUUACCAAGCUACUUCUGACGUUGAGGCACGAAAGCGUGGGGAGCAAACAGGAUUAGAUACCCCAGUAGUC
RNAcentral lists this ribosomal RNA (441 nucleotides) under uncultured bacterium. RNAcentral's name for it is "partial 16S ribosomal RNA". It matches the Rfam family "Bacterial small subunit ribosomal RNA", at positions 338 to 795 of the family's 1533-position model. The record is from RNAcentral.